AUUGAACACUGGCGGCAGGCUUAACACAUGCAAGUCGAGCGGGGGAAGGUAGCUUGCUACCGGACCUAGCGGCGGACGGGUGAGUAAUGCUUAGGAAUCUGCCUAUUAGUGGGGGACAACAUCUCGAAAGGGAUGCUAAUACCGCAUACGUCCUACGGGAGAAAGCAGGGGAUCUUCGGACCUUGCGCUAAUAGAUGAGCCUAAGUCGGAUUAGCUAGUUGGUGGGGUAAAGGCCUACCAAGGCGACGAUCUGUAGCGGGUCUGAGAGGAUGAACCGCCACACGGGGACUGAGACACGGCCCAGAGUCCUACGGGAGGUAGCAGUGGGGAAUAUUGAACAAUGGGGGGAACCCUUAUCCAGCCAUGCCGGGUGUGUGAGGAAGGCCUUAUGAUUGUAAAGCACUUUAAGCGAGGAGGAGGCUACUCUAGUUAAUACCUAGGGAUAGUGGACGUUACUCGAAGAAUAAGCACCGGCUAACUCUGUGCCAGCCGCCGCAGUAA
Molecule: ribosomal RNA, 501 nt
Filed under: uncultured bacterium
Lineage: Bacteria
Description: partial 16S ribosomal RNA
Rfam family: Bacterial small subunit ribosomal RNA
Source: RNAcentral